AGAGUUUGAUUCUGGCUCAGAACGAACGCUGGCAGCGUGGAUUAGGCAUGCAAGUCGAACGUGAAGCCAAUGAACAAUCUUUCGGGAGAGUGAUUUGGUGGAAAGUGGCGAAAGGGUGAGUAACGCGUGGGUAAGCUACCCUGAAGUUUGGGACAACCCGCCGAAAGGCGGGCUAAUACCGAAUGUGGUCACUGGAUGCAUAUCCGGAUGACUAAAGGUGGGGAUCUUUCGGGACCUGCCGCUUUUGGCGGUGCCCGCGUGCCAUCAGCUUGUUGGUAGGGUAACGGCCUACCAAGGCUUACGGCUAGCCGGCCUGAGAGGGUGACCGGCCACACUGGGACUGAGACACUGCCCAGACUCCUACGGGAGGCUGCAGUCGAGGAUCAUUCGCAAUGCGCGAAAGCGUGACGAUGCGACGCUGCGUGGAGGAUGAAGGCCUUCGGGUCGUAAACUCCUGUCAUGAGGGAACAGCCAUUCUACUCCUAAUACGAGUAGGACUCGAUGGUACCUCAAGAGGAAGCCACGGCUAACUCUGUGCCAGCAGCCGCGGUAAUACAGAGGUGGCGAGCGUUGUUCGGAUUUACUGGGCUAAAGGGUGCGUAGGUGGUUUCGUAUGUCGGAUGUGAAAGCCCAUGGCUCAACCGUGGAAUUGCAUUCGAAACUGCGGAACUAGAGUGCAGGAUGGGAGAGCGGAAUUCUUGGUGUAGCGGUGAAAUGCGUUGAUAUCAAGAAGAACACCGGUGGCGAAGGCGGCUCUCUGGAAUGUCACUGACACUGAGGCACGAAAGCUGGGGGAGCAAACAGGAUUAGAUACCCUGGUAGUCCCAGCCGUAAACGGUGCACACUUGGUGUGGGGAGAUUUAACCCUCUCCGUGCCGGAGCUAACGCGUUAAGUGUGCCGCCUGGGGAGUACGGCCGCAAGGCUAAAACUCAAAGAAAUUGACGGGGGCCCGCACAAGCGGAGGAGCAUGUGGCUUAAUUCGAUGCAACGCGAAGAACCUUACCAGGGCUUGACAUAUACCUGCACGCCCCUCGAAAGGGGGGAAGCCUUUGAGGGUGGUAUACAGGUGCUGCAUGGCUGUCGUCAGUUCGUGCUGUGAGGUGUUGGGUUAAGUCCCGUAACGAACGCAACCCUUGUGGUUAGUUGCCACCGGCGGUGAUGAGCCGUCGAGCACUCUAGCCAGACUGCCCGUACAAGCGGGAGGAAGGUGGGGAUGACGUCAAGUCAGUAUGGCCCUUACGCCCUGGGCUGCACACGUGCUACAAUGGACGGUACAAUGGGCUGCAAUACCGCGAGGUGGAGCAAAUCCGGAAAACCGUCCUCAGUUCGGAUUGGAGUCUGCAACUCGACUCCAUGAAGUUGGAUUCGCUAGUAACGGCGCAUCAGCUACGGCGCCGUGAAUACGUUCCCGGGCCUUGUACACACCGCCCGUCACAUCAUGAAAGCCGUCUGCACCCGAAGUCGCUGAUCCAACCCGCAAGGGAGGAAGGUGCCGAAGGUGUGGGUGGUGAUUGGGAUGAAGUCGUAACAAGGUA
Molecule: ribosomal RNA, 1536 nt
Filed under: metagenome
Description: bacterial SSU rRNA
Rfam family: Bacterial small subunit ribosomal RNA
Source: RNAcentral